This 203-nucleotide long non-coding RNA is filed under the name Brassica rapa (field mustard). RNAcentral describes it as "long non-coding RNA (BRAP_LNC008788)". The record is from RNAcentral. Lineage: Eukaryota; Viridiplantae; Streptophyta; Magnoliopsida; Brassicales; Brassicaceae.
UUUUUAAGAAAAUUAUUAAAAAAUAGAAUAUAUUGAUGAAAAACUCUCAAAGAAUACACAUCUAUUCACAAAUAUUCUUGUUAUCCUAACUUCUAAAUCACUAACUCAAAUCUACAAUAUUUCUCAAAAAAAAUGAAAACUUUCCAAAAAUAGCAGCUUUUAAAAAAACUAUUAAAAAUACAAUCUAUUGUGAAAAACUCUCA